RNAcentral lists this ribosomal RNA (369 nucleotides) under uncultured Terrimonas sp. RNAcentral's name for it is "bacterial SSU rRNA". It matches the Rfam family "Bacterial small subunit ribosomal RNA", at positions 542 to 916 of the family's 1533-position model. Lineage: Bacteria; Pseudomonadati; Bacteroidota; Chitinophagia; Chitinophagales; Chitinophagaceae. The record is from RNAcentral.
AGCUCAGCAUUGGGUAUAAAGUGUGCGUAGGUGGGUUGGUAAGUCAGUGGUGAAAUCUUCGAGCUUAACUCGGAAACUGCCAUUGAUACUAUCAGUCUUGAAUAUUGUGGAGGUUAGCGGAAUAUGUCAUGUAGCGGUGAAAUGCUUAGAUAUGACAUAGAACACCAAUUGCGAAGGCAGCUGGCUACACAUAUAUUGACACUGAGGCACGAAAGCGUGGGGAUCAAACAGGAUUAGAUACCCUGGUAGUCCACGCCCUAAACUAUGGAUACUCGACAUACGCGAUACACUGUGUGUGUCUGAGCGAAAGCAUUAAGUAUCCCACCUGGGAAGUACGAUCGCAAGAUUGAAACUUAAAGGAAUUGACGG